This 851-nucleotide long non-coding RNA is filed under the name Triticum aestivum (bread wheat). RNAcentral's name for it is "long non-coding RNA (TAES_LNC025703)". The record is from RNAcentral. Lineage: Eukaryota; Viridiplantae; Streptophyta; Magnoliopsida; Poales; Poaceae.
CACAUUUUUUAUCAUUUUAUAAGUAAAUGUUUCUCACACGAAGGCACCAAUUUCAUAAGAAAACUUUCUCUCACAAAUGCACAAGAAUGGAUUCUUUUUUCUUAUCUGAACUACCUACACGGGAAAGCCAAAGAUAAGUUCUUUUUGUCUCGCUUAAACAAAUUAAUACACAACCUCGGAAGAAUACAAUUGGAAAUAAUACAACCCAAACCUCUCCUUUUUUCUUGGUUUUCUGGUUUUUUCAAUAAACAUCAAAGUGUUUGCUACAAUUAACAUAUUUUUUACCUUCUCGAACAUACUUACAAUACAUGACCUUCUUCCACACAGCAUUGGAAUUUUUGUAUUACAAUUAACAUACUUGACCUUCUCAAACAUAAGAUUUUGACCUUUUGCACACAAAAAAAUUAAAAGCGGAAAAUUUGUAAAUAUGUUUUGUUACAAUUAACAUACUUGAUGUUCUCCAGAAAUGUAAAAUAUGUUCGGAAAACAUCGAUUGAUUCACCCCCAAAACAGAUGGAGGAAAACUCUAGAAAACCUACAAGCCAAAAAAUUACAAUAUGUUCGGUUCGGAAACCCCAAUCCGUACUACAGCUAGUCGCAUGGAGCACCCCGAAUCUUGACUACAGGUUGCAGGCAUCAGCACGGUAGCUACAGAGGCAGAUUACGGACGCGGUGACAGAGGGCUGUUGGAUGGCAUACAAGGCGGAAGAGGAUGUUUAUGCCUCUAGCUCCCGCCAGACAGGACGUCGCGUUGACUGUCGUGCAAAAGCUCGGCCUCCUCGUGCCAUCUUGGUAAUACAUGAACCUGCGUGGCAAUUAUAUUUGAACUUCUCUGAACCUGCAUAGAUUUG